AUAGCGUAUAUUAAAGUUGUUGCAGUUAAAAAGCUCGUAGUUGGAUUUCUGUUAAUAAUUUAUAUAAAAUAUUUUGACGAAUAUUUAUAUAAUAUUAACAUAAUUCAUAUUACUAUUUUUUUUUUUAGUAUAUGAAAUUUUACUUUGAGAAAAUUAGAGUGCUUAAAGCAGGCAUAUGCCUUGAAUACUCCAGCAUGGAAUAAUAUUAAAGAUUUUUAUCUUUUUUAUUGGUUCUAAGAUAAGAAUAAUGAUUAAUAGGGACAGUUGGGGGCAUUUGUAUUUAACAGUCAGAGGUGAAAUUCUUAGAUUUGUUAAAGACAAACUAAUGCGA
RNAcentral lists this ribosomal RNA (331 nucleotides) under Cryptosporidium hominis. RNAcentral's name for it is "partial small subunit ribosomal RNA". It matches the Rfam family "Eukaryotic small subunit ribosomal RNA", at positions 594 to 948 of the family's 1831-position model. Lineage: Eukaryota; Apicomplexa; Conoidasida; Eucoccidiorida; Cryptosporidiidae. The record is from RNAcentral.